AUCGGCUUAAAUAAAUAGCAUCUCUGAGCGAUGGAGUUCUCUUAACUCUUUUUUAUUUUUAUUACAUUUCAAUUAUUUUUCUUUCUUCUUGUCAACAACCCUUUAGAAACCCAUGCCCCUUUUUAGCUAUUCAUAAUGGUGUGUUUUCUUCAAAUGGAUCUGUGGGAGAGCAAGAAAAGGAGACCACAUCCUAGUUUUUCAGGUUACAAGGAUGAAAAU
Molecule: long non-coding RNA, 219 nt
Filed under: Capsicum annuum
Lineage: Eukaryota; Viridiplantae; Streptophyta; Magnoliopsida; Solanales; Solanaceae
Description: long non-coding RNA (CANN_LNC004859)
Source: RNAcentral